AGCAGCCGCGGUAAUUCCAGCUCCAAUAGCGUAUAUUAAAGUUGUUGCAGUUAAAAAGCUCGUAGUUGAAUUUUGGAUUCUUCCAAUUGGUCCAUCUUUUAGAUGAGUACUGGUUGUGUGGGGUCUAUCCGCCUGGUGAUACGUAAUGUCCUUUAUUGGAUGUUUCGGGUAGUCAGGACCUUUACCUUGAAAAAAUUAGAGUGUUUAAAGCAGGCUUAUGCCGGAAUACAUUAGCAUGGAAUAAUAGAAUAGGACGAAGUUGUUUUAUUUUGUUGGUUUCUAGGACAACCGUAAUGAUUAAUAGGGAUAGUUGGGGGCAUUAGUAUUCAAUUGUCAGAGGUGAAAUUCUUGGAUUUAUUGAAGACUAACUACUGCGAAAGCAUUUGCCAAGGAUGUUUUCAUUAAUCAAGAACGAAAGUUAGGGGAUCGAAGACGAUCAGAUACCGUCGU
Molecule: ribosomal RNA, 450 nt
Filed under: uncultured Glomeromycotina
Lineage: Eukaryota; Fungi; Glomeromycota
Description: SSU rRNA
Rfam family: Eukaryotic small subunit ribosomal RNA
Source: RNAcentral